Molecule: ribosomal RNA, 468 nt
Filed under: uncultured bacterium
Lineage: Bacteria
Description: partial 16S ribosomal RNA
Rfam family: Bacterial small subunit ribosomal RNA
Source: RNAcentral
GACGAACGCUGGCGGCGUGCUUAACACAUGCAAGUCGAACGGAAAGGCCCUGCUUUUGUGGGGUGCUCGAGUGGCGAACGGGUGAGUAACACGUGAGUAACCUGCCCUUGACUUUGGGAUAACUUCAGGAAACUGGGGCUAAUACCGGAUAGGAGCUCCUGCUGCAUGGUGGGGGUUGGAAAGUUUCGGCGGUUGGGGCUGGACUCGCGGCUUAUCAGCUUGUUGGUGGGGUAGUGGCUUCCCAAGGCUUUGAAGGGUAGCCGGCCUGAGAGGGUGACCGGCCACAUUGGGACUGAGAUACGGCCCAGACUCCUACGGGAGGCAGAAGGGGGGAAUAUUGCACAAUGGGCGGAAGCCUGAUGCAGCAACGCCGCGUGCGGGAUGACGGCCUUCGGGUUGUAAACCGCUUUCGCCUGUGACGAAGCGUGAGUGACGGUAAUGGGUAAAGAAGCACCGGCUAACUACGUG